CUUAUGAGAAAGUUUUGACUUGAAUUGAAAAUAGAGGUGCUAAUUUGUCUGCUAAAAGGAAUUAGAAGUAUUGUUUUAUUUUCCAGGUCAGGACAAGCUGUUCUUUAAAGAUGGAAAUUACUAUGAGGGCAAAUUUGUCAAUGGAAAAACUAUGGGGAAUGGAUUUCAAUACUGGGUAUCAGCAUUCUGAGCAGAAAAAAGUCCAUCAAUUGAAGACCUGUACCAGUAAGUUGCUCCAGAAAGUAAUUUCUUUGGUUUCUGUACAGGGAACACUUAGUCCGGUCAGUUAGUGUUUGGAAAGCUCCAUGGACACAAAGUAUUGCAUUAGAAAGAUGGUGGGAAAUAUGAAGGACAGUUCUGUGGAACAAGAGAAGGGGCAGUGGAGAAAUGACGUGGUCAAUGAACAGGGCGCUAUAGUUGAUUGUUCUGGUGACAUCUGUGAUGGACUGUGGAUCAAUGGCUACCCUGCUGGUACGUACGUUCAUUAUGCUCUCCGGUUAUUAACAAGUCUUUGACAUAAUACUUUGGUUGUCCCUCUUUUGAUUAAUAUGAUCUGACUAUAGUGU
Molecule: long non-coding RNA, 566 nt
Filed under: Calidris pygmaea (Spoon-billed sandpiper)
Lineage: Eukaryota; Metazoa; Chordata; Aves; Charadriiformes; Scolopacidae
Description: lncRNA (ENSCPGG00000012623.1)
Source: RNAcentral